RNAcentral lists this ribosomal RNA (488 nucleotides) under uncultured bacterium. RNAcentral's name for it is "partial 16S ribosomal RNA". It matches the Rfam family "Bacterial small subunit ribosomal RNA", at positions 30 to 507 of the family's 1533-position model. The record is from RNAcentral.
AUUGAACGCUGGCGGCAGGCCUAACACAUGCAAGUCGAACGGUAGCACAGAGAGCUGGCUCUCGUGUGACGAGUGGCGGACGGGUGAGUAAUGUCUGGGAAACUGCCCGAUGGAGGGGGAGAACUACGGGAGACGGUAUCUAAUACCGCACAAUGUCGCAAGACCAAAGAGGGGGACCUUCGGGCCGCGUUCCAUCGGAUGUGCCCAGGUGGGAUUAGCUAGUUGGUGAGGUAAUGGCUCACCAAGGCGACGAUCCCUAGCUGGUCUGAGAGGAUGACCAGCCACACUGGAACUGAGACACGGUCCAGACUCCUACGGGAGGCAGCAGUGGGGAAUAUUGCACAAUGGGCGCAAGCCUGAUGCAGCCAUGCCGCGUGUGUGAAGAAGGCCUUCGGGUUGUAAAGUACUUUCGUCGGGGAGGAAAGCAAUGCGGUUAAUACCCGUGUUGAUUGACGUUACCCGAAGAAUAAGCACCGGCUAACUCCGUG